This 292-nucleotide ribosomal RNA is filed under the name uncultured bacterium. RNAcentral describes it as "partial 16S ribosomal RNA". It matches the Rfam family "Bacterial small subunit ribosomal RNA", at positions 505 to 796 of the family's 1533-position model. The record is from RNAcentral.
GUGUCAGCCGCCGCGGUAAUACGAAGGGGGCUAGCGUUGCUCGGAAUUACUGGGCGUAAAGCGCACGUAGGCGGAUUCUUAAGUCAGGGGUGAAAUCCCGGAGCUCAACUCCGGAACUGCCUUUGAUACUGAGAAUCUCGAGUCCGGGAGAGGUGAGUGGAACUCCGAGUGUAGAGGUGAAAUUCGUAGAUAUUCGGAAGAACACCAGUGGCGAAGGCGGCUCACUGGCCCGGUACUGACGCUGAGGUGCGAAAGCGUGGGGAGCAAACAGGAUUAGAAACCCCCGUAGUCC